Molecule: long non-coding RNA, 521 nt
Organism: Phasianus colchicus (ring-necked pheasant)
Lineage: Eukaryota; Metazoa; Chordata; Aves; Galliformes; Phasianidae
Source: RefSeq, a predicted model, not a curated record
UUAAGGUUCCUUCCAACUCAACACAUUCCAUCACAUUUCUCUGUAUCUCAGUAACCAGAAACCCUUCUGCGCCAGUUUCAGUUCUCCCACCCACAGGGGCUGCUCAGCACCUGGGAGCUUCAGGAGCUGCAGGGCAGAGCAGAGGCCCAGCAGUGAGCCUCAGGGCUUGGGGCAGAACAGGAGCUUCCUCUCAGGGACGUCUGCCCCCAUCCCGUGUAACUGCAGCUCUGUUGGUGAAAACAGGAUGUUUCUGACUGCACCCCCAGCACUUCCAGAGGAGCAGCGUGGGGCUGGGUGCUUUGGAGAUGUGAGGAUGGAGCCCUGUUCCCCUCCAUGGGCUGCAUGGGCUGUGGAUCCAAGCCUUCAGCUCCAUCCCUCAGGCCCAGCAGCCCCCAGGUACUGCAGGCAGAGCUGCACUCCCAGCCCUCCCUUCUCACACGCAACAUGAACAUUAAUGCAUCUCUAAAGUGCAUAAUGCAUCAGCUUUAUUCCAGCUGAUAAAUAAAGGCACAGUUCUUAGA